AUGAACGCUGGCGGCGUGUUUAAGGCAUGCAAGUCGAACUCUUGUAGCAAUACAGGGGUGGCAGACGGGUGCGUAACACAUUGGUAACCUACCUCGAAGUCAUGAAUAACCUGCCGAAAGGCGGACUAAUACAUGAUAGCAAUGGGGGGUCAUAUGACAUUCCCAUUUAAAGUUUUUCGCUUCGAGAGGGGCCUAUGGUCUAUCAGCUAGUUGGUGAGGUAACGGCCCACCAAGGCGACGACGGAUAGCGGGUGUGAGAGCAUUACCCGCCUCACUGGGACUGAGACACUGCCCAGACUUCUACGGAAGGCUGCAGUCAAGAAUAUUCCGCAAUGGCCGAAAGGCUGACGGAGCGACGCCGCGUGAUUGAUGAAGCCCUUCGGGGUGUAAAGAUCUUUUAUUGGGGACGAACAAAUGACGGUACCCAACGAAUAAGAGGUUGCUAACUCUGU
RNAcentral lists this ribosomal RNA (452 nucleotides) under uncultured bacterium. Its description in RNAcentral is "bacterial SSU rRNA". It matches the Rfam family "Bacterial small subunit ribosomal RNA", at positions 29 to 506 of the family's 1533-position model. The record is from RNAcentral.